This 429-nucleotide ribosomal RNA is filed under the name Verrucomicrobiota bacterium. RNAcentral's name for it is "Verrucomicrobia bacterium partial 16S ribosomal RNA". It matches the Rfam family "Bacterial small subunit ribosomal RNA", at positions 355 to 776 of the family's 1533-position model. Lineage: Bacteria; Pseudomonadati; Verrucomicrobiota. The record is from RNAcentral.
UAGGGAAUCUUCGGCAAUGGGGGGAACCCUGACCGAGCAACGCCGCGUGAGUGAAGAAGGUUUUCGGAUCGUAAAGCUCUGUUGUUAAGGAAGAACGAGUGUGAGAAUGGAAAGUUCAUGCUGUGACGGUACUUAACCAGAAAGGGACGGCUAACUACGUGCCAGCAGCCGCGGUAAUACGUAGGUCCCGAGCGUUGUCCGGAUUUAUUGGGCGUAAAGCGAGCGCAGGCGGUUAGAAAAGUCUGAAGUGAAAGGCAGUGGCUCAACCAUUGUAGGCUUUGGAAACUGUUUAACUUGAGUGCAGAAGGGGAGAGUGGAAUUCCAUGUGUAGCGGUGAAAUGCGUAGAUAUAUGGAGGAACACCGUUGGCGAAAGCGGCUCUCUGGUCUGUAACUGACGCUGAGGCUCGAAAGCGUGGGGAGCGAACAGG